GGUAGCAGGCCUUCGGGCGCUGACGAGUGGCGGACGGGUGAGUAACGCGUAGGAAUCUGCCUGGUAGUGGGGGACAACUUAGGGAAACUUAAGCUAAUACCGCAUACGCUCCUUAUUGCAAGAUGGGGAGGAAAGCGGGGGCUCCUGUUCUUCGGAAUGGGACCUCGCGCUAUCAGAUGAGCCUGCGUUAGAUUAGCUGGUUGGUGGGGUAAAGGCCUACCAAGGCGACGAUCUAUAGCUGGUCUGAGAGGACGAUCAGCCACACUGGGACUGAGACACGGCCCAGACUCCUACGGGAGGCAGCAGUGGGGAAUAUUGGACAAUGGGCGCAAGCCUGAUCCAGCAAUACCGCGUGUGUGAAGAAGGCCCUAGGGUUGUAAAGCACUUUCAACGGGGAGGAAAACCUGCCGGCCAAUACCCGGCAGCUUGACAUUACCUGUACAAGAAGCACCGGCUAACUCCGUGCCAGCAGCCGCGGUAAUACGGAGGGUGCGAGCGUUAAUCGGAAUUACUGGGCGUAAAGCGUGCGUAGGCGGUUGAUUAAGUCAGAUGUGAAAGCCCCGGGCUUAACCUGGGGAACGGCAUUUGAUACUGGUUAACUCGAG
RNAcentral lists this ribosomal RNA (605 nucleotides) under uncultured bacterium. RNAcentral describes it as "bacterial SSU rRNA". It matches the Rfam family "Bacterial small subunit ribosomal RNA", at positions 68 to 646 of the family's 1533-position model. The record is from RNAcentral.